AGGAGCGGGUGUUGCCAGCAGAUGGCAGUUGAAUCAACUCGUAAGUUGAAUUUCCUUCUGUUGCUGCUCUCGCUCUUUCAUUUGCACGUGUAUGGGUAUGUAUAUUUUCUUCUGCUUUACUGUCAGCAGCUUGAAAUUUUCUUCUGUGGAGAAAUGAGUAUCUGCAGUAUUGGCACUAGUAGUGUUAUCAUGCAGACAUUAAUAUGUAAAUUGAAGGGUAUACUAUUGAUACUUA
RNAcentral lists this unclassified non-coding RNA (235 nucleotides) under Hevea brasiliensis (rubber tree). Lineage: Eukaryota; Viridiplantae; Streptophyta; Magnoliopsida; Malpighiales; Euphorbiaceae. The record is from RNAcentral.